CAGUAGCCACGGUAAUACGUAGGGUGCGAGCGUUAAUCGGAAUUACUGGGCGUAAAGCGUGCGCAGGCGGUUCGUUAAGACAGAUGUGAAAUCCCCGGGCUUAACCUGGGAACUGCAUUUGUGACUGGCGAGCUAGAGUAUGGCAGAGGGGGGUAGAAUUCCACGUGUAGCAGUGAAACGCGUAGAGAUGUGGAGGAAUACCGAUGGCGAAGGCAGCCCCCUGGGCCAAUACUGACGCUCAUGCACGAAAGCGUGGGGAGCAAACAGGAUUAGAGACCCCCGUAGUCCCUGUCUCUUAUAC
This 301-nucleotide ribosomal RNA is filed under the name uncultured bacterium. Its description in RNAcentral is "partial 16S ribosomal RNA". It matches the Rfam family "Bacterial small subunit ribosomal RNA", at positions 509 to 807 of the family's 1533-position model. The record is from RNAcentral.